Molecule: ribosomal RNA, 494 nt
Filed under: uncultured bacterium
Lineage: Bacteria
Description: partial 16S ribosomal RNA
Rfam family: Bacterial small subunit ribosomal RNA
Source: RNAcentral
GACGAACGCUGGCGGCGCGCUUAACACAUGCAAGUCGAACGGAAAGGCCUGCUUUCCCUUGUGGAUUGCGGGUACUCGAGUGGCGAACGGGUGAGUAACACGUGAGUGAUCUGCCCCCAACUCGGGUAUAAGCCUGGGAAACUGGGUCUAAUUCCCGACAGGACUGCAGGGGGGUGCCUGUGGUGGAAAACGAUUUUCUAGUGGUCGGGGCUGAGCUCGCGGCCUAUCAGCUUGUUGGUGGGGUAAUGGCCUACCAGGAGGGGGACGGGUAGGCGGCCUGGGAGGGUGGGCGGCCACAUUGGGACUGAGAUACGGCGAAGACUACUACGGGCGGAAGCAGUGGGGAGUAUGGCACAAUGGGCGGAAGCCUGAGGCAGCAACGCCGCGUGGGGAAUGACGGCCGUCGGGUUAUAAACUCCUUUCGACAGCGAGGAAUCCACCUGGAUGGAGGGGUAGUGACGGUAGUGGUAGAAGAAGCACCGGCUAACUACGUG